This 433-nucleotide ribosomal RNA is filed under the name uncultured bacterium. RNAcentral describes it as "partial 16S ribosomal RNA". It matches the Rfam family "Bacterial small subunit ribosomal RNA", at positions 29 to 507 of the family's 1533-position model. The record is from RNAcentral.
AGCGAACGCUGGCGGCAGGCCUAACACAUGCAAGUCGAACGAACUCUUCGGAGUUAGUGGCGGACGGGUGAGUAACACGUGGGAACGUGCCUUUAGGUUCGGAAUAACUCAGGGAAACUUGAGCUAAUACCGGAUGUGCCCUUCGGGGGAAAGAUUUAUCGCCUUUAGAGCGGCCCGCGUCUGAUUAGCUAGUUGGUGAGGUAAAGGCUCACCAAGGCGACGAUCAGUAGCUGGUCUGAGAGGAUGAUCAGCCACAUUGGGACUGAGACACGGCCCAAACUCCUACGGGAGGCAGCAGUGGGGAAUCUUGCGAAAUGGGCGAAAGCCUGACGCAGCCAUGCCGCGUGAAUGAUGAAGGUCUUAGGAUUGUAAAAUUCUUUCACCGGGGACGAUAAUGACGGUACCCGGAGAAGAAGCCCCGGCUAACUUCGUG